Molecule: ribosomal RNA, 497 nt
Filed under: uncultured bacterium
Lineage: Bacteria
Description: partial 16S ribosomal RNA
Rfam family: Bacterial small subunit ribosomal RNA
Source: RNAcentral
GGUGAACGCUGGCGGCGUGCCUAAUACAUGCAAGUCGAGCGAACAGACGAGGAGCUUGCUCCUCUGACGUUAGCGGCGGACGGGUGAGUAACACGUGGAUAACCUACCUAUAAGACUGGGAUAACUUCGGGAAACCGGAGCUAAUACCGGAUAAUAUAUUGAACCGCAUGGUUCAAUAGUGAAAGACGGUUUUGCUGUCACUUAUAGAUGGAUCCGCGCCGCAUUAGCUAGUUGGUAAGGUAACGGCUUACCAAGGCAACGAUGCGUAGCCGACCUGAGAGGGUGAUCGGCCACACUGGAACUGAGACACGGUCCAGACACCUACGGGAGGCAGCAGUAGGGAAUCUUCCGCAAUGGGCGAAAGCCUGACGGAGCAACGCCGCGUGAGUGAUGAAGGUCUUCGGAUCGUAAAACUCUGUUAUUAGGGAAGAACAAAUGUGUAAGUAACUAUGCACGUCUUGACGGUACCUAAUCAGAAAGCCACGGCUAACUACGUG